Molecule: ribosomal RNA, 305 nt
Filed under: uncultured bacterium
Lineage: Bacteria
Description: bacterial SSU rRNA
Rfam family: Bacterial small subunit ribosomal RNA
Source: RNAcentral
UAAGCCUACGGGACGCAGCAGUGGGGAAUAUUGCGCAAUGGACGAAAGUCUGACGCAGCGACGCCGCGUGAGGGAUGAAGGUUUUCGGAUCGUAAACCUCUGUCAGGAGGGAAGAAAGCGCAUGGCGCCAAUCAGCCAUGCGUUGACGGUACCUCCAAAGGAAGCGCCGGCUAACUCCGUGCCAGCAGCCGCGGUAAUACGGAGGGCGCGAGCGUUAAUCGGAAUUACUGGGCGUAAAGCGCGCGUAGGCUGUUGUGUAAGUUGGGGGUGAAAUCCCACGGCUCAACUGAGGAACUGCAACCAAA